RNAcentral lists this ribosomal RNA (425 nucleotides) under uncultured bacterium. RNAcentral describes it as "bacterial SSU rRNA". It matches the Rfam family "Bacterial small subunit ribosomal RNA", at positions 355 to 772 of the family's 1533-position model. The record is from RNAcentral.
UGGGGAAUAUUGGACAAUGGGGGAAACCCUGAUCCAGCAAUGCCGCGUGUGUGAAGAAGGCCUUCGGGUUGUAAAGCACUUUUAGCAGGAAAGAAAGGCCGUGCGCUAAUACCGUACGGUUUUGACGUUACUUGCAGAAAAAGCACCGGCUAACUCCGUGCCAGCAGCCGCGGUAAUACGGAGGGUGCAAGCGUUAAUCGGAUUUACUGGGCGUAAAGGGCGCGUAGGCGGCGCGGUAAGUCACUUGUGAAAUCUCUGAGCUUAACUCAGAACGGCCAAGUGAUACUGCUGUGCGAGAGUGCGGAAGAGGCAACCGGAAUUCUUGGUGUAGCGGUGAAAUGCGUAGAUAGCAAGAGGAACACCUGAGGCGAAGGCGGGUUGCUGGGCCGACACUGACGCUGAUGCGCGAAAGCCAGGGGAGCAAA